RNAcentral lists this ribosomal RNA (440 nucleotides) under uncultured bacterium. RNAcentral's name for it is "partial 16S ribosomal RNA". It matches the Rfam family "Bacterial small subunit ribosomal RNA", at positions 338 to 795 of the family's 1533-position model. The record is from RNAcentral.
CCUACGGGUGGCAGCAGUGGGGGAUAUUGCACAAUGGGGGAAACCCUGAUGCAGCGACGCCGCGUGUGGGAAGACGGUCUUCUGGAUUGUAAACCACUGUCCCCAGGGACGAAAAUGACGGUACCUGGGGAGGAAGCUCCGGCUAACUACGUGCCAGCAGCCGCGGUAAUACGUAGGGAGAAAGCGUUGUCCGGAAUUACUGGGUGAAAAGGGAGCGGAGGCGGGGAUGCAAGUUGGGUGUCAAAACUACCGGCUAAACCGAUAGUCGCACUCAAAACUGCGGCUCUAGAGUGAAGUAGAGGCAGGCAGAAUUCCAGGUGUAGCGGUGAAAUGCGUAGAGAUUAGGAGGAACACCGGUGGCGAAGGCGGCCUGCUGGGCUAUUACUGACGCUGAGGCUCGAAAGUGUGGGGAGCAAACAGGAUUAGAUACCCGAGUAGUC